Molecule: ribosomal RNA, 437 nt
Filed under: uncultured soil bacterium
Lineage: Bacteria
Description: bacterial SSU rRNA
Rfam family: Bacterial small subunit ribosomal RNA
Source: RNAcentral
AGGAUGAACGCUAGCGGCAGGCUUAAUACAUGCAAGUCGAGGGGCAGCAGGUCCGUAGCAAUACGGAUGCUGGCGACCGGCAAACGGGUGCGGAACACGUACACAACCUUCCUUCAAGUGGGGGAUAGCCCAGAGAAAUUUGGAUUAAUACCCCUUAAAAUUAUGAGAUGGCAUCAUUUUAUAAUUAAAGCUCCGGCGCUUAGAGAUGGGUGUGCGGCUGAUUAGGUAGUUGGUGAGGGUAACGGCCCACAAGCCUGCGAUCAGUAACUGGUGUGAGAGCACGACCAGUCACACGGGCACUGAGACACGGGCCCGACUCCGUACGGGAGGCCAGGCUAAGGUAAGGAAUAGUUGGUACAAGUGGACCGCAAGUCUGAACCAGCCAUGCCGCGGUGGAGGAUAGGAAGGUCCUGUGGUAUUAGUUAAACUUUCUUUUA